RNAcentral lists this transfer RNA (58 nucleotides) under Loxodonta africana (African savanna elephant). It matches the Rfam family "tRNA", at positions 8 to 63 of the family's 71-position model. Rfam says of the family: Transfer RNA (tRNA) molecules are approximately 80 nucleotides in length. Their secondary structure includes four short double-helical elements and three loops (D, anti-codon, and T loops). Further hydrogen bonds mediate the characteristic L-shaped molecular structure. tRNAs have two regions of fundamental functional importance: the anti-codon, which is responsible for specific mRNA codon recognition, and the 3' end, to which the tRNAs corresponding amino acid is attached (by aminoacyl-tRNA synthetases). tRNAs cope with the degeneracy of the genetic code in two manners: having more than one tRNA (with a specific anti-codon) for a particular amino acid; and 'wobble' base-pairing, i.e. permitting non-standard base-pairing at the 3rd anti-codon position. The record is from Rfam by way of RNAcentral. Lineage: Eukaryota; Metazoa; Chordata; Mammalia; Proboscidea; Elephantidae.
UGGUGUAGUGGUUAAAGCGUUUGGCUGCUAACCAAAAGGUUGGUGGUUCAAACCCACC